This is a long non-coding RNA of Artibeus jamaicensis (Jamaican fruit-eating bat), 502 nucleotides long. RefSeq lists it as uncharacterized. The record is from RefSeq and is a predicted model, not a curated record. Lineage: Eukaryota; Metazoa; Chordata; Mammalia; Chiroptera; Phyllostomidae. The transcript has 3 exons.
CAGCAGAGCUGUAGAGGUGACCUGCUGUUUCACAUAAGUGAGACCGGGCAGACCAGAAGAGCCACCCAGCUUAACCACAGACUUUCCAGACAGAGCUGGGACACCAUGCCGCCCUUGCAGCAGCCUGUGAGAGGGAUGCUUUAGUGAGAUGGAGAUAUUUUCAUGGAGCAGGUGUCCAGGACACCCACGGGAAAGCUAGUCAAGCUGCUGGGAGAGACACGCGUGAGGAGUAAAUGUGGAAGAAUGUCCUACCAGUCUGCACGAGGGCCACAGAGACCACAAGACUUUGAAUGGAUCCUGGCAAAUGAAUGGAGCCAAGGCAGACGAGUGCAGCACGCCCACGUGGACAGCUCUGAAGUGCCCCACUGGACUCUGCUGAUGGAGCUCUGCUUGGAUUCAGGAUUCUGCCAGUCAGAGAAAGGCCACCCACACCCAGCAAAUGACUGUCACAAAGGCCAUUAGAUGGAAAUCUAAGGAUUGAUAACUGGAACCACCGCUGGAG